GACGAACGCUGGCGGCGUGCUUAACACAUGCAAGUCGAACGGAAAGGCCCUGCUUUUGUGGGGUGCUCGAGUGGCGAACGGGUGAGUAACACGUGAGUAACCUGCCCUUGACUUUGGGAUAACUUCAGGAAACUGGGGCUAAUACCGGAUAGGAGCUCCUGCUGCAUGGUGGGGGUUGGAAAGUUUCGGCGGUUGGGGAUGGACUCGCGGCUUAUCAGUUUGUUGGUGGGGUAGUGGCUUACCAAGGCUUUGACGGGUAGCCGGCCUGAGAGGGUGACCGGCCACAUUGGGACUGAGAUACGGCCCAGACUCCUACGGGAGGCAGCAGUGGGGAAUAGAGCACAAUGGGCGGAAGCCUGAUGCAGCAACGCCGCGUGCGGGAUGACGGCAUGCGGGUUGUAAACCGCUUUCGCCUGUGACGAAGAGUGAGUGACGGUAAUGUGUAAAGAAGCACCGGCUAACUACGUG
RNAcentral lists this ribosomal RNA (468 nucleotides) under uncultured bacterium. RNAcentral describes it as "partial 16S ribosomal RNA". It matches the Rfam family "Bacterial small subunit ribosomal RNA", at positions 28 to 507 of the family's 1533-position model. The record is from RNAcentral.